This 253-nucleotide ribosomal RNA is filed under the name uncultured bacterium. RNAcentral describes it as "partial 16S ribosomal RNA". It matches the Rfam family "Bacterial small subunit ribosomal RNA", at positions 524 to 776 of the family's 1533-position model. The record is from RNAcentral.
UACGAAGGGGGCUAGCGUUGCUCGGAAUUACUGGGCGUAAAGGGAGCGUAGGCGGAUAGUUUAGUCAGAGGUGAAAGCCCAGGGCUCAACCUUGGAAUUGCCUUUGAUACUGGCUAUCUUGAGUACGGAAGAGGUAUGUGGAACUCCGAGUGUAGAGGUGAAAUUCGUAGAUAUUCGGAAGAACACCAGUGGCGAAGGCGACUCUCUGGUCUGUAACUGACGCUGAGGCGCGAAAGCGUGGGGAGCAAACAGG